UAAAACCAUAAUUUUUUUUAGUUCUUAGUGGAAGGCUUUUCUUUAGUUAUGUGUUUCUAUGCAUUUCCAGCAAGUCAUCAUUCGUUCAAUUUAUCUCGAAUUCCUAAGCUACCUUUGUCGGGCCUGCAGGAAUUAAUGGAGCACACCAGCUUUUUAUCCUUAAACUAAGCUUUUGGAUUUUAAGCUUCCUAUUACUUUAACUGUGUUGAGUGUACUCUUUCAAACAGAAUUUGAGUCAUAUUUCUGUCUCUCUGCCUAAUUUCUCCAAAAUUUGUAAAGUAUAUGUGAAUAUUCUCAAUUCGCAGCAACGUGUUUGUAUACAGUCAAGCAGGGUUGCCAGGGCCACUCAAGGAGAGAGAACCCAGAAACCUGGCAUGCCUGCAAAAGGUGUGUUUUCACCAGGUAAAGAAACUUUUUUAUGCUUUAAAUCUUCUGGAAACAUGAGAGAAAGACUGCCUUUGUCAUCCACACUACAAUAAAACUUCAAAAACCUUGGGCUUUGGAUUCAUGGUCUCACAAAUGAGAAGUAUCCCUCCACACUUUUGGAACUGUGCACCCAUUGGAAACCUUGAGAUAAAGCUAACCAGGGAAAUUUCUCCCAAGAAGAAAAUGGCACCUUUGAUGUGAAUAACUUUUCCUAAGUUCACAGAUGAUUAAAACUUUUACUAUCAAA
Molecule: long non-coding RNA, 673 nt
Filed under: Homo sapiens (human)
Lineage: Eukaryota; Metazoa; Chordata; Mammalia; Primates; Hominidae
Description: HSALNT0284075
Source: RNAcentral